Molecule: long non-coding RNA, 1593 nt
Organism: Gopherus evgoodei (Goodes thornscrub tortoise)
Lineage: Eukaryota; Metazoa; Chordata; Testudines; Testudinidae
Exons: 3
Source: RefSeq, a predicted model, not a curated record
GGACUGGUUGCAGUAUACGACAAAAGAAGCUUUCCUACAUUUGGGUAAUCUUGGUUUUUGUCCCCAGGCCAUGUUGGCAUGACACACAAUGAUCUCCAUACGGCCACCAGAGGGAGUGUCGCACACAGUUUCUCCCUGCUGAAGCAAAUGGAGGUGCUGUUACAGAGAAGCAUCUGUGAUGCCAUCAGCCGCAUCUUGCUUGGGUGGACUGAACAAUUCUGGCUUCAAUUUGGGGGGGGCGGGGCAGGUGUUCACUUUUUGUCUGAGUGUCCCAAAACCACACCCACCUGGUCCAAGAGAAAUGCUUAUCAAGAGCCAGAGCACAGCAAGUGAUCACCUUGAUAUCCUUUGAGCUGCUGUUGGGGUUUUUUUAAGCUUUCUGGGGAUGUGAAUUAGAUGCGUCCCAAUGUGUCUCUGUGCACUGGAAGAUCUCUCCACCUGUGAGCAUCUUGAAAUCCGGAUUGGCCUCUUGGUAGAGUGAGAGGGUGAAAAGAGUGGGAUUUGGUGUCAAGAAUGCUUGAAAUGUCAACAAUGUUUUGUGUGGCUUAUAAGGCCUUGUCUAAAUACCAAUGUGCAAUGCUUUAACUAGACUGGUAUAUCUAAUGGUGGCCGGCCUCCCCUAGUGGGGAUGUAAUUAUUCUGAUACAAAUGGUAUCGCUGGGAAUAUGGGAAGGGGGAUAGCUAUGCUGGUAUCAGGCAUCUUUUUGCCAGUAUAAUUGUACCCGUAGUACUGUAAAUCUCAAAACCCCUUAGCUGAAAUAAUUAUACGGGGUGUAGACCAGGCCUCAUUUUAGCAUGGAAGGGGCUAUAACAGUUAUCUUUUGCUGGAGUCCUCAUAGCGGUAUAUGAACCAUUAAGCCUCACAACAGGAGGUUAAGUGUUAUCCAGAUGUAUGAGAAGAUCUGACCGAAUAGAAGAGGCGGAUAGCUUGCGGCCCAGAGCGCAGGUUCUGUUGCAAGCGUUGCCAACUCCAUUCUACUGAGUCUUGUGGUGUCUGGUGGCUUCUCUUAAAGCCCCAGCCCUUGUGAUUAUAUGAGAAUCUGAGAUCGAUAUGACAGUAUCCUGCAAGUCUCCUGGACAAACCUUAUGGAGUUAAUAAUUUUGGGGCCCAUUGUAUUAAAAAUGCAAUUGUUUGUGUUGUGGAAUUGUAUGUAACUUCACUAGGAGGCCUGAGGAACGCAAUCUCCAGGAGCAUUUAGGGACUUGAAAGGACUUUUGGGGACGAUAUGUACAAAGUGAAUUUCCCAGGCAAUACUUGGGGUGAAGGGAAUGCAAAUAACCCAUCUCUGAGUCCAUCCUUCUGUAGCUGAACCUGGAGCAGAGAUCCAUUGUCCACCUGAUUAACAAUCCACAGUCGCUCCAAAGACCCCAAUGGAAUGGAUGAAUGUCUCCCAAACUCCCAAGCAUUUUUGUUCUGAGCUAAGGGUGUCACAAACUACAAAACCCCGCAGAGGGGUUUUCAUGUGGUUUCAAGGACUGCCAGAGCCAGGGUGAUCUCUGGUAAGCUCAUUAGCAUACAUGUGGGUUCUUUAUUGGUUAAUGUUUUUUUUUUCUCUGUAAUGCUUUUACCUUAGGAAUAAAAUUAUGCUUGCU